RNAcentral lists this long non-coding RNA (606 nucleotides) under Numida meleagris (helmeted guineafowl). RNAcentral's name for it is "lncRNA (ENSNMEG00000016463.1)". Lineage: Eukaryota; Metazoa; Chordata; Aves; Galliformes; Numididae. The record is from RNAcentral.
AACCACUGCUGCACAAGUUCACCACGUAAAACAAGCACUAAGUACCCGGGAGCAUACCAAAUUAUUUCCAGCACAAAUUGGCUACAAUCUCAUUGUGACGUUAAGGGAUUACUUCAAUUAGACUCUCUCUUUGCUGCUCCACUGACGACUGACUGCAGUUGUAGCAUACUCACAGGAGGAACUGUGAUGACUGCAGCACAAACAGAGCAACACCACGAGCUGAACAUAAACAGGCUAUUGCAUUCAAGAGGCCAGCGGAUUGCUGAUGUUCCAAAAGAAGAAAGUCAUGCCAGAUUUGAACCUAUUCAUCACGUUCCAUGGAGUAGAUAAAAGGUACUGAGUAUUACUUUUGGGCUGUUAUCAUGGCACCAGGGCUCUGUUAGGGUGAUGCCUGCGCACUACUGAGGAGGAGCUCAGGUUCUCUCAGUUUACAGCUACAUCCCUUCUCUCUCAAGACACGAUACCGCUUCAAAACAGAAAUCAGAUGUAAUUAAGGGCAGACUGCCGUAACAACCUUUCCAGGCAAUUCUUAUUUUUCCUCAGAGCCUUGGCUUGCACCCAACUACAGGUCUGACACUUGAAUAAAGGGAAGAGCUGUCUUACCCA